RNAcentral lists this ribosomal RNA (2900 nucleotides) under Klebsiella pneumoniae. Its description in RNAcentral is "bacterial LSU rRNA". It matches the Rfam family "Bacterial large subunit ribosomal RNA". Lineage: Bacteria; Pseudomonadati; Pseudomonadota; Gammaproteobacteria; Enterobacterales; Enterobacteriaceae. The record is from RNAcentral.
UUAAGCGACUAAGCGUACACGGUGGAUGCCCUGGCAGUCAGAGGCGAUGAAGGACGUGCUAAUCUGCGAAAAGCGUCGGUAAGGUGAUAUGAACCGUUAUAGCCGGCGAUGUCCGAAUGGGGAAACCCAGUGCAAUUCGUUGCACUAUCGUUAACUGAAUACAUAGGUUAACGAGGCGAACCGGGGGAACUGAAACAUCUAAGUACCCCGAGGAAAAGAAAUCAACCGAGAUUCCCCCAGUAGCGGCGAGCGAACGGGGAGCAGCCCAGAGUCUGAAUCAGCUUGUGUGUUAGUGGAACGGUCUGGAAAGUCCGACGGUACAGGGUGAUAGUCCCGUACACCAAAAUGCACAGGCUGUGAACUCGAAGAGUAGGGCGGGACACGUGGUAUCCUGUCUGAAUAUGGGGGGACCAUCCUCCAAGGCUAAAUACUCCUGACUGACCGAUAGUGAACCAGUACCGUGAGGGAAAGGCGAAAAGAACCCCGGCGAGGGGAGUGAAAAAGAACCUGAAACCGUGUACGUACAAGCAGUGGGAGCACCUUCGGGUGUGACUGCGUACCUUUUGUAUAAUGGGUCAGCGACUUAUAUUCUGUAGCAAGGUUAACCGUAUAGGGGAGCCGCAGGGAAACCGAGUCUUAACUGGGCGUUAAGUUGCAGGGUAUAGACCCGAAACCCGGUGAUCUAGCCAUGGGCAGGUUGAAGGUUGGGUAACACUAACUGGAGGACCGAACCGACUAAUGUUGAAAAAUUAGCGGAUGACUUGUGGCUGGGGGUGAAAGGCCAAUCAAACCGGGAGAUAGCUGGUUCUCCCCGAAAGCUAUUUAGGUAGCGCCUCGUGAACUCAUCUUCGGGGGUAGAGCACUGUUUCGGCUAGGGGGUCAUCCCGACUUACCAACCCGAUGCAAACUACGAAUACCGAAGAAUGUUAUCACGGGAGACACACGGCGGGUGCUAACGUCCGUCGUGAAGAGGGAAACAACCCAGACCGCCAGCUAAGGUCCCAAAGUCAUGGUUAAGUGGGAAACGAUGUGGGAAGGCACAGACAGCCAGGAUGUUGGCUUAGAAGCAGCCAUCAUUUAAAGAAAGCGUAAUAGCUCACUGGUCGAGUCGGCCUGCGCGGAAGAUGUAACGGGGCUAAACCAUGCACCGAAGCUGCGGCAGCGACACUAUGUGUUGUUGGGUAGGGGAGCGUUCUGUAAGCCUGCGAAGGUGACCUGUGAGGGUUGCUGGAGGUAUCAGAAGUGCGAAUGCUGACAUAAGUAACGAUAAAGCGGGUGAAAAGCCCGCUCGCCGGAAGACCAAGGGUUCCUGUCCAACGUUAAUCGGGGCAGGGUGAGUCGACCCCUAAGGCGAGGCCGAAAGGCGUAGUCGAUGGGAAACAGGUUAAUAUUCCUGUACUUGGUGUUACUGCGAAGGGGGGACGGAGAAGGCUAUGUUAGCCGGGCGACGGUUGUCCCGGUUUAAGCAUGUAGGCUGGUUAUCCAGGCAAAUCCGGAUAAUCAAGGCUGAGGUGUGAUGACGAGGCACUACGGUGCUGAAGUAACAAAUGCCCUGCUUCCAGGAAAAGCCUCUAAGCAUCAGGUAACAUCAAAUCGUACCCCAAACCGACACAGGUGGUCAGGUAGAGAAUACCAAGGCGCUUGAGAGAACUCGGGUGAAGGAACUAGGCAAAAUGGUGCCGUAACUUCGGGAGAAGGCACGCUGGUGUGUAGGUGAAGUCCCUGCGGAUGGAGCUGAGACCAGUCGAAGAUACCAGCUGGCUGCAACUGUUUAUUAAAAACACAGCACUGUGCAAACACGAAAGUGGACGUAUACGGUGUGACGCCUGCCCGGUGCCGGAAGGUUAAUUGAUGGGGUUAUCCGUAAGGAGAAGCUCUUGAUCGAAGCCCCGGUAAACGGCGGCCGUAACUAUAACGGUCCUAAGGUAGCGAAAUUCCUUGUCGGGUAAGUUCCGACCUGCACGAAUGGCGUAAUGAUGGCCAGGCUGUCUCCACCCGAGACUCAGUGAAAUUGAACUCGCUGUGAAGAUGCAGUGUACCCGCGGCAAGACGGAAAGACCCCGUGAACCUUUACUAUAGCUUGACACUGAACAUUGAGCCUUGAUGUGUAGGAUAGGUGGGAGGCUUUGAAGCGUGGACGCCAGUCUGCGUGGAGCCAACCUUGAAAUACCACCCUUUAAUGUUUGAUGUUCUAACGUUGGCCCCUUACCGGGGUUGCGGACAGUGUCUGGUGGGUAGUUUGACUGGGGCGGUCUCCUCCCAAAGCGUAACGGAGGAGCACGAAGGUUAGCUAAUCCUGGUCGGACAUCAGGAGGUUAGUGCAAUGGCAUAAGCUAGCUUGACUGCGAGCGUGACGGCGCGAGCAGGUGCGAAAGCAGGUCAUAGUGAUCCGGUGGUUCUGAAUGGAAGGGCCAUCGCUCAACGGAUAAAAGGUACUCCGGGGAUAACAGGCUGAUACCGCCCAAGAGUUCAUAUCGACGGCGGUGUUUGGCACCUCGAUGUCGGCUCAUCACAUCCUGGGGCUGAAGUAGGUCCCAAGGGUAUGGCUGUUCGCCAUUUAAAGUGGUACGCGAGCUGGGUUUAGAACGUCGUGAGACAGUUCGGUCCCUAUCUGCCGUGGGCGCUGGAGAAUUGAGGGGGGCUGCUCCUAGUACGAGAGGACCGGAGUGGACGCAUCACUGGUGUUCGGGUUGUCAUGCCAAUGGCACUGCCCGGUAGCUAAAUGCGGAAGAGAUAAGUGCUGAAAGCAUCUAAGCACGAAACUUGCCCCGAGAUGAGUUCUCCCUGAGACUUUAAGUCUCCUGAAGGAACGUUGAAGACGAUGACGUUGAUAGGCCGGGUGUGUAAGCGCAGCGAUGCGUUGAGCUAACCGGUACUAAUGAACCGUGAGGCUUAACCUU